GAAUUUUGGACAAUGGGCGAAAGCCUGAUCCAGCACUGCCGCGUGCAGGAUGAAGGCCUUCGGGUUGUAAACUGCUUUUGUACGGAACGACAAGCUUUAGGUUAAUACCCUGGAGUCAUGACGGUACCGUAAGAAUAAGCAACGGCUAACUACGUCCCAGAAGCCGCGGUUAUACGCGUGGUGCAAGCGUUAAUCGGAAUUACUGGGCGUAAAGCGUGCGCAGGCGGGUUUGUAAGACAGAGGUGAAAUCCCCGGGCUCAACCUGGGAACUGCCUUUGUGACUGCAAGGCUAGAGUACGGCAGAGGGGGGUGGAAUUCCGCGUGUAGCAGUGAAAUGCGUAGAUAUGCGGAGGAACACCGAUGGCGAAGGCAACCCCCUGGGCCUGUACUGACGCUCAUGCACGAAAGCGUGGGGAGCAAACA
Molecule: ribosomal RNA, 423 nt
Filed under: uncultured bacterium
Lineage: Bacteria
Description: partial 16S ribosomal RNA
Rfam family: Bacterial small subunit ribosomal RNA
Source: RNAcentral